Long non-coding RNA from Chinchilla lanigera (long-tailed chinchilla), 426 nucleotides. RefSeq lists it as uncharacterized. The transcript has 3 exons. NCBI's taxonomy places the organism in Eukaryota, Metazoa, Chordata, Mammalia, Rodentia, Chinchillidae. The record is from RefSeq and is a predicted model, not a curated record.
UCUGCUGUUUUUGUGCUCUGCCUCUGAGGAUUCAGGCCGGAUAGUAUUUCAUGGUGACAUCGCCACAGCUCGGAGCAGCCCAUUGUCUUUUCUGAGCACCAUCAGUUUUGAAAGGGCAAUGCUUUUGGAAGGCGAUUGAACCGUGUGGCGAUAUAGUAGACUUGCUGUUAAGAGAUGGGGUCCGGUUGGAAGAGGAGCGUCAUGGCGGCGUGGCCUGGAAGGGUUCCCCUCCCUCUCCUACUCCUCCCUCCCUCUCUUCCUGUGUGCCAUGAGUCAGAGCCUUUCGUCAGCUCGUUCUGGAGUCGCACCUUUGCAUCUGCAUGGCUGGGAGGAACGCCUGGCCCUGCGCCACCCCACUGCUGAAAGAACAGUGGCAGGUUUAAUUUCAUCCAUCAUGUGGCUCUGCAGGAUUCAACCACUGUUUCA